CCCCCCCCCCCCCCCCCCCCCUCACUGAUUUGUUCGGCUGUGGAGCUGCUUGUGAUUGGACGAUCCUGAAUUCACGGACAUCUGAGGGGGUCCACCCCCACCUCCUGACAUCCUGUUUACUUCCUGUACCUGCUGCCCGCGCUGUCAGCUGAUUGGCUGGAGGUUUCACCUGUCCGUCACAGCACGUUUAUACUCUGAAACGCCCACCAUGACCUGCUGAUAUCACCUCACCCCCUCACCCUUCUCCUCCUCUUCCUCUUCCUCCUUCUCCUCCUCCUCCCCUCUCUGUCCCACAAAAUGGCAUCAACUGAUUGGCUGUCACCAUGGCAGCCUCCGCUGGCGCUGCUCCUGCUCGCUUCCUGUUUCCUGUCAGAGUCUGCCUCGACCACGCCUUUCCCCAAAGACCUGGAACCAAUCAGUGCAGUCGGCUGGGAGCAGUCGUAUCAGUUUCCAGGGUUUCAGGGUUUACUGCAGGACAACGACACGCUGAGACUCGGCCUCGACUUCCAGAGGAUGUUACGCAUCAACCACAUGCUGUACAUCGC
This is a long non-coding RNA of Thunnus maccoyii (southern bluefin tuna), 545 nucleotides long. RefSeq lists it as uncharacterized. The transcript is spliced from 4 exons. Lineage: Eukaryota; Metazoa; Chordata; Actinopteri; Scombriformes; Scombridae. The record is from RefSeq and is a predicted model, not a curated record.